This 270-nucleotide ribosomal RNA is filed under the name uncultured prokaryote. RNAcentral's name for it is "partial 16S ribosomal RNA". It matches the Rfam family "Bacterial small subunit ribosomal RNA", at positions 524 to 794 of the family's 1533-position model. The record is from RNAcentral.
UACGUAGGGGCAAGCGUUAUCCGGAUUUACUGGGUGUAAAGGGAGCGCAGACGGCAGUGCAAGUCUGAUGUGAAAGCCCGGGGCUCAACCCCGGAACUGCAUUGGAAACUGUACAGCUUGAGUGUCGGAGAGGUAAGCGGAAUUCCUAGUGUAGCGGUGAAAUGCGUAGAUAUUAGGAGGAACACUGGUGGCGAAGGCGGCUUACUGGACGAUUACUGACGUUGAGGCUCGAAAGCGUGGGGAGCAAACAGGAUUAGAUACCCUGGUAGU